CCGUAACCAUUACACACGCCAUUGACUCCAUCGACCAGCCAUCCAUGGACAAAGACCACUGAUGGGCGGAAGUGGCCUCCAUGCCACCAAUCAGCAGGCCCAAAAUCCACGCAAGCCCCAUAAAUUCUAAAACCUUAGAAUACAUACCCAAUAGCCCACUCCAACCACUAUUUUAGCCAUCGUUGGCGGUGUUCCCUUGUUGACGAAAUUAUCAUUGAACCCAGAGCUCUAACACCAGCCACCUCUUUCCUUCCAACCACCUCAAAACCCACAAAACCUACCACCUAUCUUAUGAAGGGAAAGAGGAGAGGCUGAGAGAUAGUUUUAAACUUUUAGCUUUAGGGUUUGUUUUGAUUUGUUUUAGUUUUUAUUUCGG
This 376-nucleotide long non-coding RNA is filed under the name Citrus maxima (pomelo). RNAcentral describes it as "long non-coding RNA (CMAX_LNC003974)". The record is from RNAcentral. Lineage: Eukaryota; Viridiplantae; Streptophyta; Magnoliopsida; Sapindales; Rutaceae.